GUUUGACGGGCAAUUCAUUCUGUGAAUUGAUUUCGUCCCGGGGUCAAAAUUGUCAAAUUUACCGGGUUUCCAGCGGAGAUCGUGUGGAGGCAGAGAAAGGAAGACGAGCGCGGGGAACGGUAAAUCAGAAGGCGGCCGCCGCGGCCUCGGUGGCGCUGCUUGGGUCACUGAAGAUGGGGAAGAUGGAGAGGGGAGAGAAGCGUAGCAGGGCGGUCGCGGCGGCGCUAGAAGUUUGAGUGAUUGGAGCGCCGGCGAAAGGAGGAGCGCAGCAUCGACCCAGCCUGCCUGCCGCCGACGACCAAGCCUCAGGUAUGCGCGCGCUCCACGGGGCCUAGCAAAGAGAGCGCCGUAAUGCAGUUUAGCCCCGUUCAGUAGCUGCGCAAGGACCAGAGCCACUCCCUUGGCCGAUUUACAAGGGUCAGGAUCGCUCACAGGCAAAACGAAUCGACAAUUCUGGCUUCAAGUUUCCAAAGACCUUGUACCCAGAAUCUUCUAAGAAUCAAAUCAAGGGGAGAGGGGAGAAUACGCCCCGGCAGCUCCCCGAGAACGAGCGUCCAUUUCCUACAUCUCGGGGAAGCGGAAGCGCCCUGAACCCCUCGCCGAUUCGAGCGACGACUACUCAAGAAGUUUCCUUCCCUCUCACGACAAUGACGCCAACGGCCGCCUCAGGUUCGUCUGCUUCCCCCUUUUUUUCUCGGAUCAAGAGCAGAGCCGCCACAGAGCAGAGGCUUGUGCAGCUUGGGCAGGAGAUGUACAUGGUGUCAAGUAGUGAAGCUUUUGAUUCGUACUUCUGUACAUGUGCUUGAGAAUAUUUGCUUCUCAUUUUAACAUAGGAAGCCUGGUUGUAACCUGACUGAGUUGAUGAUACAUCACCUGGCAUCUGGUAGUUUCGUUCUUGCUGCUAGCUUUAUCUGCUCAAGAAUGAGAUGCUAAACUGUGCUAGUCUCUAGCCUCUAGACUGCAGUGACUGCAACAUGUUUUUGUGUCUGCAGAAGUCCGAAGUAUAGACUUGUCAAUUUUUAAUUGGUUCUAACUUGUAACACAGAGGUGAAGAGCACCAAACCAUGUACUUGACAACAUCAAGAUGCAUAUGCUUAGUUUUCAACACUUUGAUCAUUAUUAGCAAUAUAUGGUGCUUGAUCUUCUAUUUUUUUAGCAAUUAAUAUAGAGUGCUAAAUAUUCAAUAUAUAGGCUUAAUUUUCAAUCAGAACAACAAAAGACACAAAAGGUUACGGUUUACUCACUGUAAAGGGAUGCAUUGUUGUCUGGUGGUUGAGCUGGACCGAGCAGACACCCAUACAGAGCGAGCCAGAGCGUGGCUCUGACUGAACUUGGCUCGACUCCAGCCCUACCCUCUAUAUAUACCGAGGUGAGCGGGGAUUGUGGUUAUUGCCUCUGAUUGCUUCUAACUAUCUCAUAAUCUCGUAUACAGUUCAUUGAAAAUAUGAAGGGGAGCAGCGUAGUGGUUGCUGUUUUCUUUGUCGGGUGCCUAAUCAUGGUUGGACAAUGUCGCCCUGACCCCAAGAGCACCUACAAAGAUGGCCAUGACAACACGACUAUGGUGGCCUCAUCAUUAGAUGAGAGCAAACUUACCAUAAAAUGGUGUGUCGCAAGGAAUUGUAACACCAAAGGCGGUCUCUCUACGUCGGUUGUAACCCUGUGCUUUAAUGCUUAAGACAAUUACAAUGACACGAUCGCCAAUCCAUCUGCUGGAGUACAUAAUUGUAUAUGUGAUUUGGACAGUGUUGUAAGCACUGUUUGAAUACUGCCGCAUUGACUAGUUAUUUCUUCAAGCCGGCAGACGAAAACUGAUAUGCAGCUGUGUGUCACAUCCGCACCAAGAUAAUGCGUGCCUUGAGGAACUACGCCAACGGCCAGCUUGAGGGCCGCAUUGUCACGCUCCCAUACAUAAGCAAGUAGGAAAACUCGUAGAAGCAACAUCCAGUUUGCAAGGAACGAUUUGAUGUAAAUUGUUUGUCAUGGAAGCAGAAUUGUUUGUCCAUGAAACUAUGGAAGCAAAAUCUUUCAUC
Non-coding RNA from Aegilops tauschii subsp. strangulata, 2030 nucleotides. The record is from RefSeq and is a predicted model, not a curated record. Lineage: Eukaryota; Viridiplantae; Streptophyta; Magnoliopsida; Poales; Poaceae.